GAUGAACGCUGGCGGCGUGCCUAAUACAUGCAAGUCGAGCGAACAGAUGAGGAGCUUGCUCCUCUGACGUUAGCGGCGGACGGGUGAAUAACACGUGGGUAACCUACCUAUAAGACUGGGAUAACUUCGGGAAACCGGAGCUAAUACCGGAUAACAUGUUGAACCGCAUGGUUCUACAGUGAAAGACGGUCUUGCUGUCACUUAUAGAUGGAUCCGCGCCGCAUUAGCUAGUUGGUAAGGUAACGGCUUACCAAGGCAACGAUGCGUAGCCGACCUGAGAGGGUGAUCGGCCACACUGGAACUGAGACACGGUCCAGACUCCUACGGGAGGCAGCAGUAGGGAAUCUUCCGCAAUGGGCGAAAGCCUGACGGAGCAACGCCGCGUGAGUGAAGAAGGUCUUCGGAUCGUAAAACUCUGUUAUUAGGGAAGAACAAAUGUGUAAGUAACUAUGCACGUCUUGACGGUACCUAAUCAGAAAGCCACGGCUAACUACGUG
Molecule: ribosomal RNA, 497 nt
Filed under: uncultured bacterium
Lineage: Bacteria
Description: partial 16S ribosomal RNA
Rfam family: Bacterial small subunit ribosomal RNA
Source: RNAcentral